UGGGGAAUAUUGGACAAUGGGCGCAAGCCUGAUCCAGCAAUGCCGCGUGAGUGAUGAAGGCCCUAGGGUUGUAAAGCUCUUUUACCCGGGAAGAUAAUGACUGUACCGGGAGAAUAAGCCCCGGCUAACUCCGUGCCAGCAGCCGCGGUAAUACGGAGGGGGCUAGCGUUGUUCGGAAUUACUGGGCGUAAAGCGCACGUAGGCGGCUUUGUAAGUUAGAGGUGAAAGCCCGGGGCUCAACCCCGGAA
Molecule: ribosomal RNA, 248 nt
Filed under: uncultured Sphingomonas sp.
Lineage: Bacteria; Pseudomonadati; Pseudomonadota; Alphaproteobacteria; Sphingomonadales; Sphingomonadaceae
Description: partial 16S ribosomal RNA
Rfam family: Bacterial small subunit ribosomal RNA
Source: RNAcentral